Molecule: small nucleolar RNA, 68 nt
Organism: Plutella xylostella (diamondback moth)
Lineage: Eukaryota; Metazoa; Arthropoda; Insecta; Lepidoptera; Plutellidae
Source: RefSeq, a predicted model, not a curated record
UCUAACAUGAUGACUUCAAUAUCGCCCCAGUCUGAAAUAAAAUGUUGAUCGAUUUUUUCUGAUAUACU